GCCAAAGGAUAGGUCUGCGGCCGAUUAGGUUGUUGUUGAUGUAACGGAUCAACAAGCCUCCGAUCGGUAUGGGUUGUGAGAGCAAUAGCCCAGAGAUGGGUUCUGAGAGAAGAACCCAGGUCCUACGGGACGCAUCAGGCGCGAAAACUUUACAAUGUGCGAAAGCACGAUAAGGGAACUCUGAGUGCCUCCUAAGGAGGCUGUUCAGGUGUCUAAAAAGCAUCUGAAGGAAGGGCUGGGUAAGACCGGUGCCAGCCGCCGCGGUAACACCGGCAGCCCAAGUGGUGGCCACUUUUACUGGGUCUAAAGCGUUCGUAGCCGGCCAGGUAAGUUCCUUGGGAAAUUUGACCGCUUAACGGUCAAGCUUUCAGGGAAUACUGCGUGGCUUGAGACCGGGAGAGGUCAGAGGUACCUCAAGGGUAGGGGUGAAAUCCGUUAAUCCUUGGGGGACCACCGGUAGCGAAGGCGUCUGACCAGAGCGGAUCCGACGGUCAGGAACGAAGGCUAGGGUAGCGAACCGGAUUAGAUACCCGGGUAGUCCUAGCUGUAAACGAUGCGGGCUAGGUGUUGGCAUUACUGCGAGUGAUGCCAGUGCCGAAGGGAAGCCGUUAAGCCCGCCAUCUGGGGAGUACGGUCGCAAGGCUGAAACUUA
RNAcentral lists this ribosomal RNA (652 nucleotides) under uncultured archaeon. Its description in RNAcentral is "bacterial SSU rRNA". It matches the Rfam family "Archaeal small subunit ribosomal RNA", at positions 201 to 858 of the family's 1478-position model. The record is from RNAcentral.